CUGGGCAUGGGUGGGGGUUGGCAUUGCGGUUGCCAAUCUAGUGUCCAACCAGAGGACAGAAGGAUGGAGUGGAAGAAGGGAGAGGUUUAGGGCCUGGGAGGGGAGAAGAGGGUGCAUGAGUUGCUUCAUGCUGCCUGCUUACAGGCAUUGGCACUGCAGCUGCCACCCCUUGUGCCCACGGAGAUAGGAGAAGGUGAAUGGAGGGGGGCAGCGACAGGAGUCCCCGUGCUCUGGGAGGAAGGCUCGGUACCCGGGAGCUGUUGGCAUCACAUCUGUCAGGCUGGUGCCCAGCACUGGGGCAAUGGGGAAUGGAGGACCCAGGAGGCAGGGAGGAGGGGCAGGAAUGUGUUGUUAGUGUUGCUGUCCCUUUAGAAACUUAGCUCUGAGAAAUGGUUGGAUUAUGAGGUGGUUAGUGCUCUUCCAGCCUGGGAAAGUACCGUGGUGGAAAGAGUAGUCAGAGAAGUGCCAAGAAAGAGCCUAUGAGCCAGGGAGGAGGGACUGUGCCACCGCUACCCAGGGAGAACUUGUUGGGGCUGGCAAUCUGGCCCUUUGUCAGAACACUGAAGGAGACAGCAAGGGCACUGGCACUGCCCAUGGCGCCUGGCACAGGCUCUGGCAUUGUGUGGAAUAAGGACGGGUGACGGUGCCUCUCGCCAAUCUGGUUGCAAGGGCUGUUGUGCCAGGAGUGAGAAGGGAGGAGAGAUGUUUGCAGGGGUGUUGUUUGGGAGUACAGACUUUUUUUCUGCCAGGACCCCCUUCCCAUUCCCUCUUAGGCAUGCGGAGUGAGCAACUGACAGAGAGAGAGCGGCGUGAGGACACAAAGGAGGAAGCGCGCCAUUGCCAAGACCCGGAGGAAGAAGGAUGGAGAGCGCUGGCAGUCUUGCCUGGCCCCCAGCCAGUUUUCUGCUGAAGAUGGCCAUAUCCCCUUGCCUGGUCUGUAUAUGCCACUAUUGCAGCAGUGGUGGGAGGGAAGGGCUGGCUUGCUGAGCUGGGCUCUGGAAUGGGAAGGGCACUUUUCUGGGGAUCCCACUCUAACAAGUGAGGUGUCUGGUUUUUCUCCCUAGUGCCUUCCUCUUCUACCCCUCCCUUCACUCACCCUUCUUUCAUCUCUCCAUCACCACUUGGGUCUUACUGCUUGGCACCCAACUAACUGGAUACUGCCACGCUUGGCAGUGCUGCACUGGCACGUGAACAGUGCCUCAGAUCCUGGCACUGCGGCAAACCCAAAGCCACCAAACAUGCGCAUGACGCCACUUGGCGGCAGUGAGAGAGAGGGGCCAUGCAUAUAGCAGUGCCAGGCACUGGGUGGAGCUCUGUGCUGGGAAGUGGCAUGAAAGGAUGCCCCUAACAGCUGGGCUGAGUCGGCACUCUCUGGCCAACCCCAACUCUGCCUUCCUCCUAAUUAGAUACCCACGUCCCACCCCCACUGCCCCCAAGACAGGGAUUUAGAUGGUACCACACCUAGUGAUUGAGCAGCCAUGCAAAGGGAAGCUGGAGCACAGAGGACAGAUUGUAGUCACACCCAAAGCCAGUGAAUUAUACACUUCUUUGGGCAAUAAGGACAGAAAAAAAUCCUAGGAGGGCAAAAAGAGCCUGGACAAAAGCAUGCCAGCUAUGUUGUUUCCAAGAUGGUACCAGAAGAGAUAGGAAGGGAAAUGGGAAGGAGAGACCCUCAGGCCUUUCUGUUGGGUGGUGGGAUGGUUUGUACCUAUAUGUAUUUCAUUUUGCCUUGUGCCUUGGAUUGGCUGAGCUGUGGUUGAAGUGAAUUCGUUCUUUCUCCUUUGUUAAAGUCUUAUAUUCAAGAACAGUCUUAGAAAGGUGGAGAGUUGCUCUAGGCCUAGAGAGGUAGGCAGGUGUUAGGAAGACAAAGGCAUCUGGGACUUUUCCUUCCAGAAAGACUGUUCAAAGAGAUUUUGUGUUUAGGUAUUUCUCUAUGGCACCCCAAUUGGAGUUGGAUAAAUUUCCAUAUCUUUAAAAUCCACCCCAGAAAGGGAAACUGAGGACCAGCAAUGAGCCCUGGUAGAGGGGUGGGCCCCUAGGAGGAGAAUUGGUAGCAUCCGUGGUGACAUAGUCCAGCUCCCACAGAACUGGAUGUUGGGCCCCCAUUUGAAAGGACUUUUAGUAGGUUUAUCUUUCCCUGUAUCCUGGGUAGCCAGUGGCUGUAGGUCAGUGACCAACAAGAUCUUCAGGUGGCAGAUUUGACUCCGGGUAAUGUCGGGGCAGCUAGGUGGCUCUGGGACAUAGGACCUGCCCAGAGAGAAGUAAAGCCCAUGCUGGGCUGAGCUGCUCAGGGCUGGGGAGCUCUGCUUUCAGCAUCUCUGGAAGUAGAUGGCAGCUUUGAAAGAAGCAAAGUGGUUUCCACAGUGGAGGAGAGAGCAAGGAGGCACUCAGCCAAGGAGGUGAGUGGACAAUGUUUAUAUCUUUUCUCCUGUUCGAGAACAGCAGCAUAAGCAGAAGACACUGUUAGAUUUCCAAUAUGUUGGAUGUUGAGGGUGGCGGUGAUGUCAGCAUAAGGAAGAGGACAAAUCUGAGGUCAUGACAGGCCACUGUGUGGUAGCUCCUGGUGCAGCAGGGUUGGUCCUUGGGUGCUAGAGAGAUGGGGGCAGGUCACAGAUGGAUGUGGGCUGAGCUCUCUAGGCCAGUGAUUCUCAAACUCCAAAGAGUACGGAAUCACUUCAGGAGUUUCUGAUUCAGUUGAUUUGAAUUAGUCCAGGAAUGUGCAUUUUAAAUAAGCACUCCUGUUGUAGGUGAACAAAACUUUGAGAAACACUGUUCUGAGAGAUGGUAGUCACCUUGCAUGUAGGGUGGUGAUCUUGUCUGGAUUUCCCUUGCCUUUUGCAUCCUUCCUCUUCCUCAGCCACACUCAUGUCUUUGUGCUCUCACGCUGGGGACACAUGUGUUGUAGGAUGUGCUUAUGUAUGUUUUGGGUUAGGACAGUUAGGAGGAAAGGAGAUUGUGAGGUCAAAUCAGGCAAAUGUUAGAACAAUGAUCCUCAUCACAGUGGUUAUCACAGAAGAAUCCCUUUGGGAAUACUUUCAAAAGUCACUCCUCCCUUUGCCCCUAGAUUCUGAAACCUCACCAUUGAGAACCAGUAGGUUAGGAGCAUUGCCAAGAGAUUAUUCUCUGUGGUCCCGACAGGUUUGUAUGGAUUUUGUAGCCAGGUACAGGAUGGGUCUAGUCACACUUCUUCCUGGCAGCAGGCCUGGAUCCUGGGCAAUGGAAACAGGGGUCAGCAGAGUACAGGGCCCAGCUUGCUGCUGGUACUCAGCGAAUUGCAGAAGAUACUAUCGCUUGAGCACCUGGUGGGGAUGUCCAGAAUGAGCACAGUGUAGGUCAUUUUCAAGUCUAGUUAAGAAGACAUGGUGCAGGGUUGUUACCAGGAAGGGAUGGUGGAUAUGGGCAGUGCUGAGCCUCUGCAGAUCACUGGUACCUGGGUUUUAGCCAUGGUUUGUGUGAGAAUGUGUACAUUGUUGGGCAGGGUUAUGAGUUAACCCGGGAGCUGCAUCGCCUUUCCCCUUUGGACAGGUUCAGCUUCCUUCUGGUCCACCUGUGAUCGCUCAACCUGCUUCUCCAAUAGCUUUUAGCCAGACAUCUCGCCAUGGCUGGGGAACUGCAGGAAACACCAGGCCCAGACUACUGACAGGGAAUAAUGACAUUUAUCCCUUGUCUAUGCUCUGUGUGAACUGCUAUUUGGGUCCCUCUAUAUCAGUGGGUGGUCACACAAUUGUGUCACCCAAUUUUAUGUUCUCCCUAUAAAGUGCAUUCACUCUCAGGAGGGGCUUUCUCUCAUGGUUACUUCCCAUUUCUCCCCCAACUGACAUGCCAUGGUCUAGUUCUUCUGUAAAUGUACCCUCUUGGAUUUUUUUUCACCUGAUCUUUUCGUAAUAUAUCCAUGCUAUAAUCCUAUAGACCCUGAGACUGGGUCUUCUGCCUUUCUUAUAGCAAGAGCUUCCUUGGUAUUGGGGCAUUUCUCCCCAAUUCAAUCCUCUAGAAAUGAUACCCUCAUGGCUUACAAGUUUCUGACUAGUUGCUUGUGAGGGAAAUGCUCCCCAAUACCUGGCCUUCCUAUAACACAGAGUCCUAGCCCUGUUUGCCAUAGGAGUCUCCCCAAAAGUUUUCUUCUCAUUCACUACCUCUCCCCUCCCUGGUGUCCAGAGGCAUUUAAGGUCCCUUCCCCACAGGUUGAUGUUCAAUACUUUGUUAUUCUUCUUAAUACUGGUUACAUUUUCCUCUAUUCUGUGUUUAUAAGCUUUGUCUACCUACUUCUGUGUGAGGAAAAUUUGCAUGUAAUAGAGUGUUUCUACUUAUGGGGGGGUAGGUCAUGUGUCUGGGGGUAUUACCCUUUGUAUCUCUACCUAUUGGCAUGUGUGUGUUCCUGUAGCCCUCUGUGCUGCUGGGGUCUUGUUGGUGCAGUUAUACACAGAGUUCUGUAUUUCAGAUGCGACUGUCUUUACAGGGAUAAAUGACUAGAUGAACAAGUGUGCCUUAAAAUGGAUCAGGGUGAUGGACAUUUGGGGAAUCAGUGAUCUGGUCUAUAAACCCUGAAAGUGCUUAAGGAACAAAUAGAAGGAAUUAAGCAGGUGUGUGCUGUUAUGCCUGGAAUAACUGGCUUUCUUGGUUCACAUGCAUGCUUCUAUAAGUACACUCCAGGGCUAGAGGGGCAGGCUAGGAAAAGAUUUCCUUUUGUGGUCAUAUUACAAACUCUCAUUUGGCCACUUAUACUUCAGAUUUUCUCACACUCUUCCAGCAGAUUUUAUUUUUGUUCCCAGCUGAGGAUUGGGUACCUUAACCCAUCCUUACAAAGACUUUGGUUUAGAGCAGACAGCCCAGGUCACUUCCACCUCCUGCUUGCCGGUACCGACCCUGGCCAUAAGUUGUGUAGGCCCCAAUUUGGGUGCUUCUUUAGGGAUUUGUGUAUGUUAGAAACCCUAGGACUUUGUCCCAAGCCAUGGAAGACCAAUCUUAUCAGUCUUCCAUCAGUUCAGGCUCACUUUAGGGUUAGGGGUCGAUAGGUACUGUAAAAUAGGUGUUGCUGUACUGUGCACUUGAGUUGAGUCUAUUAUUCCAUAGGAGAAACAUGAUUCAGUCCUGGUGACUUGGCAUGCACCUUUAACAUUCUGCAUAGGGUUGUGCUGACUCAGCCUUCUGUCCGGCCACUGUGUGUCACUCUCUGGAACUGGAAUGCUACAACUAAGGACUUCUGGUCUGAGAAAGGGGCUGGGGAGAAAUGCUUCCAGCCACUGGGAACAUGGACUGAUAGACCCUCAAGCAGCAUGUUGAUUGACCUAAGUCAGCAGAGUCAGCCAGGUUCUUUUGCCCCCAAAAUUCCAGGGUUCCAGUAUGUGAAUGGAAUCUGGUUCCAUCCUCUUGAACUUCUGGUGACAUGAUGGACUGAGCUGAUCCAGACUCCUCCCUCCAGCCCGAACACCAGAAGAGCUGAAUAAAGUCUUUGUUUCACUUCA
Non-coding RNA from Microcebus murinus (gray mouse lemur), 5462 nucleotides. NCBI's taxonomy places the organism in Eukaryota, Metazoa, Chordata, Mammalia, Primates, Cheirogaleidae. The record is from RefSeq and is a predicted model, not a curated record.